RNAcentral lists this ribosomal RNA (440 nucleotides) under uncultured bacterium. RNAcentral's name for it is "partial 16S ribosomal RNA". It matches the Rfam family "Bacterial small subunit ribosomal RNA", at positions 338 to 795 of the family's 1533-position model. The record is from RNAcentral.
CCUACGGGAGGCAGCAGUGGGGGAUAUUGCACAAUGGGGGAAACCCUGAUGCAGCGACGCCGCGUGUGGGAAGACGGUCCUCUGGAUUGUAAACCACUGUCCCCAGGGACGAAAAUGACGGUACCUGGGGAGGAAGCUCCGGCUAACUACGUGCCAGCAGCCGCGGUAAUACGUAGGGAGCGAGCGUUGUCCGGAAUUACUGGGAGAAAAGGGGGCGUAGGCGGGGAUGCAAGUUGGGGGUCAAAACUACCGGCUCAACUGGUAGUCGCACUCAAAACUGCAGCUCUUGAGUGAAGUAGAGGCAGGCGGAAUGCCUAGUGUAGCGGUGAAAUGCGUAGAUAUUAGGAGGAACACCAGUGGCGAAGGCGGCCUGCUGGGCUUUUACUGACGCUGAGGCUCGAAAGUGUGGGGAGCAAACAGGAUUAGAUACCCUUGUAGUC